UACGGGGGGGGCAAGCGUUGUUCGGAAUUACUGGGCGUAAAGGGCUCGUAGGUGGCCAACUAAGUCAGACGUGAAAUCCCUCGGCUUAACCGGGGAACUGCAUCUGAUACUGGAUGGCUUGAGAUUGGGAGAGGGAUGCGGAAUUCCAGGUGUAGCGGUGAAAUGCGUAGAUAUCUGGAGGAACACCGGUGGCGAAGGCGGCAUCCUGGACCAAUAUUGACGCUGAGGAGCGAAGCCAGGGAGCAAGCGGG
Molecule: ribosomal RNA, 251 nt
Filed under: uncultured bacterium
Lineage: Bacteria
Description: partial 16S ribosomal RNA
Rfam family: Bacterial small subunit ribosomal RNA
Source: RNAcentral